AUACGGAGGAUCCGAGCGUUAUCCGGAUUUAUUGGGUUUAAAGGGUGCGCAGGCGGCCAUUUAAGUCAGCGGUUAAAUCGUGGGGCUCACCCCCAUUCUGCCGUUGAUACUGGGUGGCUUGAUUGCGGUCGAGGUUGGCGGAAUUCGUUGUGUAGCGGGGAAAUGCAUAGAUAUGACGAAGAACACCGAUUGCGUAGGCAGCUGACCAGACCGCAAAUGACGCUCAUGCACGAAAGUGCGGGGAUCGAACAGGAUUAGAUACCCUGGUAGUCCGCACAGUAAACGAUGAAUACUUGUUUUCGGCGAUAUAAUGUCGGAGGCAAAGCGAAAGCGAUAAGUAUUCCACCUGGGGAGUACGCCGGCAACGGUGAAACUCAAAGGAAUUGACGGGG
This 392-nucleotide ribosomal RNA is filed under the name uncultured bacterium. Its description in RNAcentral is "partial 16S ribosomal RNA". It matches the Rfam family "Bacterial small subunit ribosomal RNA", at positions 523 to 918 of the family's 1533-position model. The record is from RNAcentral.